Molecule: non-coding RNA, 73 nt
Organism: Paramuricea clavata
Lineage: Eukaryota; Metazoa; Cnidaria; Anthozoa; Malacalcyonacea; Plexauridae
Source: the annotation of a GenBank genome assembly
GACCGCGUAGCUCAGUUGGAAGAGCAUUGGGCUAGUAUUCGAAAGGUCGUAGGUUCGAAUCCCGCCGUGGCCA